CAGCAGCCGCGGUAAUACAGAGGGUGCGAGCGUUAAUCGGAUUUACUGGGCGUAAAGCGUGCGUAGGCGGCUUCUUAAGUCGGAUGUGAAAUCCCUGAGCUUAACUUAGGAAUUGCAUUCGAUACUGGGAAGCUAGAGUAUGGGAGAGGAUGGUAGAAUUCCAGGUGUAGCGGUGAAAUGCGUAGAGAUCUGGAGGAAUACCGAUGGCGAAGGCAGCCAUCUGGCCUAAUACUGACGCUGAGAGACGAAAGCUAGGGGAGCAAAUGGGAUUAGAUACCCGUGUAGUCCCUGUCUCUUAUAU
This 301-nucleotide ribosomal RNA is filed under the name uncultured bacterium. RNAcentral's name for it is "partial 16S ribosomal RNA". It matches the Rfam family "Bacterial small subunit ribosomal RNA", at positions 509 to 809 of the family's 1533-position model. The record is from RNAcentral.